UCUUGUGUCAAAGCCGCUUUUUCGAAGUG
RNAcentral lists this small RNA (29 nucleotides) under Bombyx mori (domestic silkworm). RNAcentral describes it as "ovarian small RNA-30229". Lineage: Eukaryota; Metazoa; Arthropoda; Insecta; Lepidoptera; Bombycidae. The record is from RNAcentral.